AUUUUUUGUCUAUUUCUAAUUUAAUAUUCUAUGUAAUCGUACGUAAACAUAACGUUAUGUUAUGUACAUGGAAAAAUUCAUUUGUUUGUCUAUGGUACAGUGACGAGACGAACGUAAGGUGACGUAACGCGCAUGCGCGCCGCGAUAUAUAUACGGUCUUGCCGGUAACGUGCCGCCAUUUUGAGUUCGGUGACUAGCUACUUGGACACGGGAUCGGUAUCGUCCUCGUUUAUUGCAGAUUUCCAAGAAUUCAAGUAAGGAUCGGAGAAGAACAGGAGAGAAUAAGAUGGAGAGAAGGUAUCAUCCGCGCUUUGUAAGCCAUUGUAGGAUAUUAACGUCGUAUAAAUAAGGAAAUUCGUUUUCACGAGAGAAUGUAAACAGAAUACAGUCGGGCAUUUGGCUUUACAGUUGAGAGACUGGGGGUUAAACCUCCUCAGAGUAAUACGAUAUCUGGAGGCGACAUAGCCACGAAUUUUCACGAAUAACAUAUAUAUAUAUAUAUAUAUAGGGUGUCCAAAAAGGCAUAGGAUGAAACUUAUAUUACGUAUUAACAAGAUCAAAUAGAUGAAAAAUGUUUAUAUAUAAUGUUAUGUCUGAAAAUGUUUUAUCAAAAAGAUAUACGAUUUUAAAGAUAUUUCUGAUUUAUUGUCGACAGUUAUAAGAAAUGUUUGAAAAUUUCUCUUUCUUACAAGUAUACAGGUAUUAUUCAUUCAUGGAAUUAAUAAUUGCUCGCAAUCAAAUAUUCAAAUAUUCCAAUUGUAUUGGAAAUAAUAAAUAAAUGUAUUUUCGAAUACAUUUAACUAAAAGUUUAUUCUCUUCUUUCUAUCGUAUAUUUAUAAAUCUUAUAUUUUUUCACGUGUAUCCCAAAAAUCAAAGUUUAAGUCAGGUGAUUUAAGAGGCCGAUUGUUAGGGUCAAUCAUUAAUUCGACGAGUGGAAAUAAAAUGUAUAUAUUUUUAAAAGUAUAUAACUUUUAUAUGAACUUUUUCCAUCCAUUUAAUCUCAGUAAUACGUAGUAUAAAGU
Long non-coding RNA from Vespa mandarinia (Asian giant hornet), 1022 nucleotides. RefSeq lists it as uncharacterized. Lineage: Eukaryota; Metazoa; Arthropoda; Insecta; Hymenoptera; Vespidae. The record is from RefSeq and is a predicted model, not a curated record.